GACGAACGCUGGCGGCGUGCCUAAUACAUGCAAGUUGAGCGAUGAAGAUUGGUGCUUGCACCAAUUUGAAGAGCAGCGAACGGGUGAGUAACGCGUGGGGAAUCUGCCUUUGAGCGGGGGACAACAUUUGGAAACGAAUGCUAAUACCGCAUAACAACUUUAAACAUAAGUUUUAAGUUUGAAAGAUGCAAUUGCAUCACUCAAAGAUGAUCCCGCGUUGUAUUAGCUAGUUGGUGAGGUAAAGGCUCACCAAGGCGAUGAUACAUAGCCGACCUGAGAGGGUGAUCGGCCACAUUGGGACUGAGACACGGCCCAAACUCCUACGGGAGGCAGCAGUAGGGAAUCUUCGGCAAUGGACGAAAGUCUGACCGAGCAAAGCCGCGUGAGUGAAGAAGGUUUUCGGAUCGUAAAACUCUGUUGGUAGAGAAGAACGUUGGUGAGGGUGGAAAGCUCAUCAAGUGACGGUAACUACCCAGAAAGGGACGGCUAACUACGUG
Molecule: ribosomal RNA, 497 nt
Filed under: uncultured bacterium
Lineage: Bacteria
Description: partial 16S ribosomal RNA
Rfam family: Bacterial small subunit ribosomal RNA
Source: RNAcentral